CAGGACUUCCGGCUUGCCACAUCGGAGGGGCUGGCGCACAGGAGUAUUCCUAUUUUUUACUUUUGUUUAGUUUUUACCGGUCCACACUCAGCAUAAGAUAACAAUGGUGCGCUUAUGAACGGACGAGAGAUAACACAGCCUCGGAUUUUUACGGUAAUAGUUCCUUCAACGGACGGCAGCGCUGACAGAAUGGCGGCUGUGUUGCUCUGCAGGGAAACGGCCAUCUUGACAAACGGAACAGGAACCAGCUUGAACAGUUUCAAUCAGGCAGAAUCUUCAGUUCUAAUGCACAACUGCAUUUGUACUCAGUGACGAGACAAAUUCUGGACAAGAAGGGCAGCAAAAAAAAGCAGCUAUUUUCCAAGAAAAACAUCAAGGACUGGCUGAUAUUCUGCAGGAUGGACACACAGGGACAGCAGCAGACUGGGGCAAAAUGAUUUUCUCUGAUAAACCUUCCUUCUGAUUAUUUGAAGAACAAGAUGUAAGCGUUUCCAGGAGACUGGUGUAGCUCCAAAAGGGAAACAUCCAGAUAAAAUAAAUGUGUGGGGCUUCUCA
This is a long non-coding RNA of Poecilia reticulata (guppy), 555 nucleotides long. RefSeq lists it as uncharacterized. NCBI's taxonomy places the organism in Eukaryota, Metazoa, Chordata, Actinopteri, Cyprinodontiformes, Poeciliidae. The record is from RefSeq and is a predicted model, not a curated record.